This 428-nucleotide ribosomal RNA is filed under the name uncultured bacterium. RNAcentral describes it as "bacterial SSU rRNA". It matches the Rfam family "Bacterial small subunit ribosomal RNA", at positions 355 to 774 of the family's 1533-position model. The record is from RNAcentral.
UGGGGAAUCUUGCGCAAUGGACGAAAGUCUGACGCAGCCACGCCGCGUGAGUGAAGAAGGCCUUCGGGUUGUAAAGCUCUGUCACCUGGGACGAAAACACUGACGGUUAAUAGCCGUCGGAAUUGACGGUACCAGGGGAGGAAGCACCGGCUAACUUCGUGCCAGCAGCCGCGGUAAUACGAAGGGUGCAAGCGUUGCUCGGAAUUAUUGGGCGUAAAGGGUUGGUAGGUGGUCUUGUUUGUCUAAGGUGAAAUCCCAUGGCUUAACUGUGGAAGUGCCUUAGAAACGGCAAGACUAGAGUCCUAGAGGGGUUUGUGGAAUUCCCGGUGUAGCGGUGAAAUGCGUAGAGAUCGGGAGGAACACCAGCGGCGAAGGCGGCAAACUGGAUAGGCACUGACACUCAACAACGAAAGCGUGGGGAGCAAACA